Molecule: ribosomal RNA, 420 nt
Filed under: cf. Pseudoscalibregma sp. 166 PB
Lineage: Eukaryota; Metazoa; Annelida; Polychaeta; Scalibregmatidae
Description: partial 16S ribosomal RNA
Rfam family: Bacterial large subunit ribosomal RNA
Source: RNAcentral
AGCAUAAUCAUUCGCCCUCUAAUUAAGGGAUUGUAUGAACGGGUAAACGUAAAAGGAACUGUCUCCUAUAUGACCUUAAAAAUUAACUUACAGGUGAAGAGGCCUGUAUACCGAUAAAGGACAAAAAGACCCUAUUGAGCUUUAUUUAUUUGAAGUCUUUAUUAAUCAAACCGAACUAAUAAAACCCUUCUUAAAAUUUGGUUGGGGCGACCGAGGAAUUUCAACUACUUCCUUAAAAUUUAAGAAUCUCAAUUCACCCUAAAGAGCCGUUUUUCGAUUCUAGAAUUAAGCUACCAUAGGGAUAACAGGCUAAUCCUUCUUAAGAGUCCACAUUGACAGAAGGGCUUGGCACCUCGAUGUUGGCUUAAGGCCCCCUUAAGGUGUAGCAGCCUUAAAAGGUAGGUUUGUUCAACCUUUAAA